ACUGCAGGUGGACGAAUCCGGACGGCACCACCUCCAAGCUCUUCGGCUUUGUGGCUAAGAAGCAGGGCAGCCCCUGCGAGAACGUCUGCCACCUCUUCGCCGAGCUCGACCCCGAGCAGCCAGCCUUGGCCAUCGUCAACUUCAUCACCAAGGUCAUGCUGGGGCCACACAGGAAAUGAGCGAGGCCGGGAGAGACGCCAGCCCUGCCCCUUUCCCCCGCCAGCGCCCAGCCACGCAGGGGGCAGCGGCUCCCAGCGGGGGCAGGAGCUGGGCUGUGGGUGCAGCCCACCCAUCUCGCUGACCCUGACACAGGCCUGAUGGCGCUCACCCUUCAGUCAGGCUAGGGAGGGGGGUUCUCAUCUGGCCCUUCGCCCCCCCCCCCCCCCAGCUCGAAGCUUUCACCCUGUCAGAGACACCAAAAACCAAAGGCACCUGGCUAAGGGAGGGCCCAGUUCGGUCACAGGCCCUGUGGUGGCACAGCAGGGGGUUAAUGCUCAGGGCUCUGGAAGGGGGCAGCCCUGGGGCUGGUGAUCUCAGCAGUGCGGGGUCACUGGAGACAGUGGGGGGCAUGGAAGAGGCAGGCAGCCAGGGGCUCGGCCGUUGCUGAGGGGAUGAAGGCUCCUAGAGGGGGAAGUGUCCGAGAAGCUGUAUGUGCCGAAGGAACAGGGGGCAGGAGCACGUGGCAUUUAGCAAGGCCAGGGCCCACCCCAGGGUGCCCGGCCCUGCAUGGGGUUGCCAGGAGCUGAGGGAGUGGGAGGGACAAGUUCACGCUCCCGGCAUGAUCAGUGCAGGCACUUGGCUCUCAGCAUGCCAAGGCCUCGUCACGGGAUUCAAGAGCAGAGCCAGCGUGGUCUAGGGGGUUACAGCAGGGGUGGGGCUGGUGAUCAGGACUCCUGGGAUCUAGCCCCUGCUCAUGGAUAAGGGUGGGAUCUAGCAUGCUAGAGCCAGGGAGGGGGCUGGGAACUAGGACUCCUGGGUUCUAUCCCCAGCUCUCCCCCUGCUGGGCUGUGUCUUAGCAAAUGCAAUGUCAGCACUCAUGCAAGGGGCCGGUUGUUUCUCGUCGGGCCAGCUGCCUACAGAGGUGGGCUGCUCCCACAGAUGAGAUCCUGCCAGUGCAGGCAGGGGCCGACUCAGGCCCUGCUGCCCGAGAGUGACAGCGCCUUGUGGGGAGAGGGAGCCGGGGCCCAGCCAAAGCCCCACAGCAGCUUCGCCAGCCGCCUCCAGUGCAGAGGAAGGGCUGCAGCCAGCCGAUGCUGAAGGCUGCGCCGUGGGGGUGGGAUUUACUAAAGAGAAGAGAUCUAUUUUUGUCUAAUAAAGAAUUUAUAUGAGCUCCAGG
Non-coding RNA from Chelonoidis abingdonii (Abingdon island giant tortoise), 1336 nucleotides. The record is from RefSeq and is a predicted model, not a curated record. NCBI's taxonomy places the organism in Eukaryota, Metazoa, Chordata, Testudines, Testudinidae.